Molecule: transfer RNA, 70 nt
Filed under: Mus musculus (house mouse)
Lineage: Eukaryota; Metazoa; Chordata; Mammalia; Rodentia; Muridae
Also listed under: 1 other name
Rfam family: tRNA
About the family: Transfer RNA (tRNA) molecules are approximately 80 nucleotides in length.
Source: Rfam by way of RNAcentral
GGUGAGAUGGCUCAGUGGUUAAAAGCACUUGCUGUUCUUUAAGAGGACCUGGGUUCAAGUCCCAGCACCU